CCUUCGGGUCGUAAACCGCUUUCAGCAGGGACGAUGAUGACGGUACCUGCAGAAGAAGCCCCGGCCAACUACGUGCCAGCAGCCGCGGUAAUACGUAGGGGGCGAGCGUUGUCCGGAUUUAUUGGGCGUAAAGAGCUCGUAGGCGGUUUGGUAAGUCGGGUGUGAAAUCUCCACGCUCAACGUGGAGGGGCCACUCGAUACUGCCAUGACUCGAGUCCGGUAGAGGAGUGUGGAAUUCCCGGUGUAGCGGUGAAAUGCGCAGAUAUCGGGAGGAACACCCGUAGCGAAGGCGGCACUCUGGGCCGGAACUGACGCUGAGGAGCGAAAGCGUGGGGAGCAAACAGGAUUAGAUACCCUGGUAGUCCACGCCGUAAACGUUGGGCACUAGGUGUGGGGAUCUAUCGACGGUUUCCGUGCCGAAGCUAACGCAUUAAGUGCCCCGCCUGGGAGU
Molecule: ribosomal RNA, 451 nt
Filed under: uncultured bacterium
Lineage: Bacteria
Description: bacterial SSU rRNA
Rfam family: Bacterial small subunit ribosomal RNA
Source: RNAcentral